This is a long non-coding RNA of Megalopta genalis, 2853 nucleotides long. RefSeq lists it as uncharacterized. The record is from RefSeq and is a predicted model, not a curated record. NCBI's taxonomy places the organism in Eukaryota, Metazoa, Arthropoda, Insecta, Hymenoptera, Halictidae.
ACUUCUUUCCACAUAACAUUUUGUUUUCUCUGUGGUUUCUUUUUGAUAAUAAAUGAAAAAUUGCGUUAUUUUGUAUCAAUAUGACAAAUCUCACAUUUAACAUCAUCGAUAACUUAGAACAAGGCACAGUAAACUCACCAUUACUUUUCAUAAUUUAUAUCAGUGGCUUAUUAAAUUUAUGUAAUAUCAAUAAUAAUAACAAUAACAUAUGCAAAUGAUAUAAUUGUAUACACAGCUGAUAAAUAACCAGUAUACAAACUGGUAUAAAUAAUUAAAGAAAUAGUGACACAAAAAUAAUGUAAGAUAUUUAGGAUAUCGUAUCGUUUACUUUCUAAGAGGAAACACAACACCACAUCAUACAAUUAGAAAAAGCAUUCAAGGCAUAUAGAACAUACAGUAACAUAUUCCGUAACAAACAGAGCAACAAUAAUCAUAUAUUUAUUACUAAUAAGACCAACAAUAACUUAUGUGACACCAAUAUUGUGGAACAUUGGGACAUGUGUAAUUAAAAAAUGUAAGAUAUUCGAGCGUAAAGGUCUACGAGCAUGCCUAAAUUUUUAUUGAACUUCGAAACCUGAACACAAACAUUAUCAUAAUAAUAAAACAUUAUACAAUAGUGCUAACAAUAACGGAAUUGAUAAUUUUAUCAUCAAAACCUCCAGAUAUUACUAUACUAAACUACCUCUAAUUGAAAACAAAAUAAUUGAAAAUCUUGUGACACAUACAAUGAAAAUUAUAUCUUAAAUAAAAAACAAACAGGGUAUUUAACUUCACAAGCGCGUGUUUACACUUUGAUAAAGAUGGUAUAAUACGAAAUGAAAACAAUAUUUCUUUAAUAUACCACUGGAAAAAAGAUAAAAUAGAUAAAAGUAUCACGAUAAAACAAAAUAAUCGUACAAUAAGUUUCGAAAACUUUGUAUACUCAAAAAUAAUCCUAAAAAAAGACUAUGAAGAUUUCCAUAGGCUUGACACAAAAGAAUAUUGGAGGUUAAGGAACCAAAACAUCAUAAUAAAGCUCAAAAGGAGAAAAACACAUAAUAUAGAUAGGAGGACUAAAACAUAUACGACCCCAAAAGUAUGUGAUUUAAUGGAAGCGUUCAGACUGGAAUUGGGUACCGCGACACUGAUUUUCGGCUGAUCGGUCGCGUAUCGCAUGCGUGUGGCCCAGUGUAUACACGAAAAGUCGCCGCGCAAGGAAUGGGGGCAGGCGACGCAUGCGCGGGAAUCUCGCGCAGCAACGUGAGGCGUCUACCGGGCAAACAAUACAAUUAUAAACUAUGAUCAGACAGAAGCUCUGCAUCGCGUCGCCAUCGUAGUUCAGAACUACCGUAGAAUUACCCGUAGAAUUACCCGUUCAAUGCCAUAGACUUCCAUCAGAGAUGAAAAAAAAGACUUGACAAAAUCUUAGGACUUAUAUAAUUAAAUUAUAUAUUUAAUAAAGACAAAUUUACGCUUUACCUAGUUCUACUAACAACGUUUUUGCACUUUAUAAAACUGUUGUGCACUCUUGACACUGCAUUCAACCAAAUUCCGCUGACUCACACUCACAUUCACUCAUGCCAACCUCUCAAAUUGAAAAAUUAUGUGCGAAUUAUAUUUCAUCUAACACAUUACAUAAUUGUUAUAACUUCUAAACAAUCAAUUCAUAUAAAAACUAUAACUAUAUGCACUACGUAUAUGAAUUUCUUUUACAUACGAUCUACACAUCAAUGGCAUUUUCAGUGUUUGAGAAUUAAGAUCAUAAAUAUAAGUAAUAAGUAAUAAAUUGAUAAGUUUAAUGUCUAUAGAUUGAUUAAAAAUUAUAAGGCAUUUUUAUUAUGACGGUUUUAAAAAUUCAACAAGACUUUAACGGGUGCCGCCAACUGAUUCUAAUUAUUCGAUUGUUACGAUUCGAGUUUUGAUUUUUAUCAUCCAAUAAGCCGCUUCAUAAAAUGGCUUGUUAGGGAACAGGUAUUCAUUGCUGCAAGCAGUUUGCGUUUCGCUCGUUACUGCGCCCAGGGUGGGGGUCUUACGCCCUCGGCCCUGCGGGGCCCACCCGCUCAACCGAAUCGUCGCGAUCGAGGUCGUGUGAUAGCGACGACACCCGAAACACACACACACACACACACACACGGAACGCGUACACGCGACGUUUAGGAAGUGUACUGUCCCUAGCAUAGCUUAUUGGAUAAAGUUUGUAGAUUAAUUGGAAAGGGUGAGUUUGUCAUAAAAAGCAUUAUCAAAACUGAACGUGCAGGUGAUUUUCGAGCAGCUAGUAGAGUUAGCCCAGCCGAGAAAAAAAAUUCGUGAGAGUUCUUGCUUUGCAGCUAGCAUUAGUUUUCUAGACUUCCUCUUGAAACUUGGUACAUGCUAUACAUACAGUGGAUGUACACCUUUUAAACAUUUUUAUAUUUGGGUCAAGCAGUCUAAAUUUUUUUUGAGAUGUUAGAGGAAUUAGUUUACUAGACAAUGUGUUUGAGACGGCAGGACGCGGAUGUAAAGAAUUUGGAUGUAACAAAAUGUAAUUUAACAAUGCAAUAAAAAUCAGCAAACUUAACAAAUACGAAAGGAAGUGAGUUCGAUCGUUACAAUGGCAACCAGAUGCGAGAAGGAUACAUGCCUCUCGUCACGUGAGCACAUCACUCAAAAACGGUCUCCUGUGUGAAACAAAGAGAUUAGCAUAAUUGUGCAAUGUGUUCACCCAGAGAUGGCAGGCCCUGUCCCUCCCAAUCGCAACGUCGUCGACCGAACAUCACCUCGAUUGCAAAGUCGCGCCGAAAUUGGCGGCGACCUCCAAUCCAGAACCGAAUGGUUACAAAAAUUAUUUUCAAAAAUUGUAAAUUGUUGACAUGAUAAAAGGAUUAAAAAAUUUUA